UUCGACAAAAGCAUAUAAGUAGCAUCUUGAUCCAGACUCUCAAGUGCUUGAAUCCUUCUGUUGGCUUGCUCUAAUUGAUCGUUCAAACGGAUACAAGCUCUUCCAGACUCUUCUGUUCACAACUGCUCACGGGCUAAAGUAUCCUUGUACCUAUGGAUGGUGUUCUCAAGCUCAUGAGUACGGAUCUCGGAGAUUAACCUGGCUUCUCUCUCCAUCUCAAGGGUUCUCUUUGUAGUUUUGUUCAGCUCUUGAGUCUUGAGUAUAACUUGAUCUAACUCUUGGUUCUUAGUCUUGAACACAAAUUCGGUACCCUUGAGUGCAUGACCAAACUUUUCUCUUCUUUC
RNAcentral lists this long non-coding RNA (344 nucleotides) under Lathyrus oleraceus (garden pea). RNAcentral's name for it is "Pisum sativum (pea) long non-coding RNA (PSAT_LNC022652)". Lineage: Eukaryota; Viridiplantae; Streptophyta; Magnoliopsida; Fabales; Fabaceae. The record is from RNAcentral.